This 253-nucleotide ribosomal RNA is filed under the name uncultured bacterium. Its description in RNAcentral is "partial 16S ribosomal RNA". It matches the Rfam family "Bacterial small subunit ribosomal RNA", at positions 524 to 776 of the family's 1533-position model. The record is from RNAcentral.
UACGUAGGGUGCAAGCGUUGUCCGGAAUUAUUGGGCGUAAAGAGCUCGUAGGUGGCCUGUCGCGUCGGCUGUGAAAACUCGGGGCUCAACUCCGAGCUUGCAGUCGAUACGGGCAGGCUAGAGUUCGGCAGGGGAGACUGGAAUUCCUGGUGUAGCGGUGAAAUGCGCAGAUAUCAGGAGGAACACCGGUGGCGAAGGCGGGUCUCUGGGCCGAUACUGACACUGAGGAGCGAAAGCGGGGGGAGCGAACAGG